Molecule: small nuclear RNA, 107 nt
Organism: Chlorocebus sabaeus (green monkey)
Lineage: Eukaryota; Metazoa; Chordata; Mammalia; Primates; Cercopithecidae
Source: Rfam
GUGCUUCCUUUGGCAGCACAUAUACUAAAAUUCAAAUGAUACAGAGAAAAUUAAUGUGGCCCCAUUGCAAGGAUGGCAUACAAAUUCAUGAAGGGUUCCAGUUAAAA